UGUAAAUUGGAGGAAAAAAUGCCCAUAGAGCUAAUAAUUCUUUUUUCUUUUUAUUAUAGAACCUAUUUGAGAAGACACCGAGACUGAACUUGGUCCAUCUAUAUAAGAACUCAAGUUCUGAGCCACAAGUUGCAUCUGGAUAGCACUUUUAAAUGCACUUCAACAUCAUUUCAUUUGAUUUUCAUAAUACCAAGAUGAGCAAAAAAGAGGGUCAGGAUGAGUUUGGAGCUUUGCGGAAUCCUUGGGAAAACUGCCAUUCUAAUUACAGUGCCUAUAAUGGCUGGUAUGAUCCACAUGGAGUAAGAGAAUGAGUAGCUCUGAAGAGGCACUUUCACCCUGUACUGUUUCAUAUAUGCAUGUAUGGGGGAAAAGGGUUGGAGAUGGAAAUCCUAUCAGAUCACCAGGACAAACUAUCAGUUAUGUGUGAAACGGAGACUGCCUCUCUUUUCUCACUGCCUCUUUAGGAAGGGAAGCUGUCCAUCAAAAAUCCUCUAAUUCCCAAUGCUUUGUUACCUUCUCUGCUCUAUACUCUAGAUAUUUCCCUGUGAAAUCCUCUCUGUUCUUCCAUUGACCUGCGCUCUUGGAAGGUUUACAGGUCUGAUUGUACAUAUGUCUGCCACAUGUAUAAAUGAUCUUUAAUUAAAAUAAUGUAAACUUCUUAAGUA
RNAcentral lists this long non-coding RNA (665 nucleotides) under Monodelphis domestica (gray short-tailed opossum). RNAcentral's name for it is "lncRNA (ENSMODG00000037877.1)". Lineage: Eukaryota; Metazoa; Chordata; Mammalia; Didelphimorphia; Didelphidae. The record is from RNAcentral.